UAUAAGCGUAGCCAUCAGUUUUCGUGUCUAACUUUGAUCAUCCGUCUUAUUUGAUCAUUUUUUAUGAUUAGUAUUUUUAUUGUUAUUAGAUGAUAAAAUAUGAAUACUCCCUUUGGGCUGAUAGUACUUGUCGUUUUAGACAAGGGUAAGGUCAAACUUUAGAAUCUUUAAU
RNAcentral lists this microRNA precursor (172 nucleotides) under Oryza meridionalis. RNAcentral describes it as "MIR812 microRNA precursor family". It matches the Rfam family "MIR812 microRNA precursor family", at positions 1 to 157 of the family's 205-position model. Lineage: Eukaryota; Viridiplantae; Streptophyta; Magnoliopsida; Poales; Poaceae. The record is from Rfam by way of RNAcentral.